UCCUAGAGUUAUGCACUGUGCCUUGGGGAA
This 30-nucleotide non-coding RNA is filed under the name Mus musculus (house mouse). Lineage: Eukaryota; Metazoa; Chordata; Mammalia; Rodentia; Muridae. The record is from RNAcentral.